UACGGAGGGGGCUAGCGUUGUUCGGAAUUACUGGGCGUAAAGCGCGCGUAGGCGGACCUGCAAGUCGGGGGUGAAAGCCCGAGGCUCAACCUCGGAACUGCCUUCGAUACUGCGGGUCUCGAGUCCGGGAGAGGUGAGUGGAAUUCCGCGUGUAGCAGUGAAAUGCGCAGAUUUCAGGAGGAACACCGAUGGCGAAGGCAGGUCUCUGGGCCACUACUGACGCUGAGAAGCGAAAGCAUGGGGAGCGAACAGG
RNAcentral lists this ribosomal RNA (253 nucleotides) under uncultured bacterium. Its description in RNAcentral is "partial 16S ribosomal RNA". It matches the Rfam family "Bacterial small subunit ribosomal RNA", at positions 524 to 776 of the family's 1533-position model. The record is from RNAcentral.